ACUAACAAGGAUUCCCCUAGUAACUGCGAGUGAAGCGGGAAAAGCUCAAAUUUAAAAUCUGGCGGUCUUUGGCCGUCCGAGUUGUAAUCUAGAGAAGUAAUGCCCGUGCUGGACCGUGUAUAAGUCUCCUGGGAUGGGGCGUCAUAGAGGGUGAGAAUCCCGUCUUUGACACGGACUACCAGUGCAUUGUGGUAUGCUCUCAAAGAGUCGAGUUGUUUGGGAAUGCAGCUCAAAAUGGGUGGUAAAUUCCAUCUAAAGCUAAAUAUUGGCGAGAGACCGAUAGCGAACAAGUACCGUGAGGGAAAGAUGAAAAGAACUUUGGAAAGAGAGUUAAACAGUACGUGAAAUUGCUGAAAGGGAAACGCUUGAAGUCAGUCGCGUUGGCCAGGGAUCAGCCUUGCUUUUGCAUGGUGUACUUUCUGGUUGACGGGUCAGCAUCAAUUUUGACCGCUGGAAAAGGGCCUGGGGAAUGUGGCAGCUUCGGCUGUGUUAUAGCCCCUGGUCGCAUACAGUGGUUGGGAUUGAGGAACUCAGCACGCCGCAAGGCCGGGUUUCGACCACGUUCGUGCUUAGGAUGCUGGCAUAAUGGCUUUAAGCGACCCGUCUUGAAACACGGACCAAGGAGUCUAACAUGCCUGCGAGUAUUUGGGUGGAAAACCCGAGUGCGCAAUGAAAGUGAAAGUUGAGAUCCCUGUCGUGGGGAGCAUCGACGCCCGGACCAGAACUUUUGGGACGGAUCCGCGGUGGAGCAUGUAUGUUGGGACCCGAAAGAUGGUGAACUAUGCCUGAAUAGGGUGAAGCCAGAGGAAACUCUGGUGGAGGCUCGUAGCGAUUCUGACGUGCAAAUCGAUCGUCAAAUUUGGGUAUAGGGGCGAAAGACUAAUCG
Molecule: ribosomal RNA, 886 nt
Filed under: Agaricus bisporus (cultivated mushroom)
Lineage: Eukaryota; Fungi; Basidiomycota; Agaricomycetes; Agaricales; Agaricaceae
Description: eukaryotic LSU rRNA
Rfam family: Eukaryotic large subunit ribosomal RNA
Source: RNAcentral